GCAGAGUAAAAAUGUACUCCUACAAACAAGCCUUCCCUAUGGAGCCAAUGGGCAGAUGUGGCUUCCUUGGACUACGUUAACCUUAACAAGGACACAAGAAACCUGAUGAGAAGGGCCAGUGGAGAGCAUCAGGAGCAGCAUCCCUGGCAAGAGGAGGGAAAAAAAGUACUUGGGUCUGUGAAGAAAUAUUUGGAACAAGGAUAUCCUGCCAGUGAAAAGAAGUUCUACAAUUGGGAAAGGCAAAAAAACAGCCAGUGUAACCACAAUGCUGGAUUUCCUACGGAGAUAACCAUCAUUGAUGCACAAAGCUCCUGUGUUCCUUCAAUUAACAUACUGUAGGUGGAAGCCAAAAACACUGGAUAAUGAAACUGACCAAAACCAUCUCCCUGCACCUUGCUCAAAAUGCCAAGUCACUGUGAUGGAAGGGAAGUCUCUGCCUUGCAGUGCUGCCCAGCAGGAGUGAUGUACACAUCUC
RNAcentral lists this long non-coding RNA (475 nucleotides) under Manacus vitellinus (golden-collared manakin). RNAcentral's name for it is "lncRNA (ENSMVIG00005014134.1)". Lineage: Eukaryota; Metazoa; Chordata; Aves; Passeriformes; Pipridae. The record is from RNAcentral.